This 1194-nucleotide long non-coding RNA is filed under the name Anas platyrhynchos platyrhynchos (common mallard). Its description in RNAcentral is "lncRNA (ENSAPLG00000020681.1)". Lineage: Eukaryota; Metazoa; Chordata; Aves; Anseriformes; Anatidae. The record is from RNAcentral.
AUGGACGGGAUCUCGAAAUGGACCAGACCUGCGGCGGGCACAGACGGGCGGUGUGAGGGGCUGCCAGGGGGGCACGGGCGGGUGCUGGCACACGGCGUGCUCCGACGGGCGGGCAGCGCUUGGUGCCACCGCCGGGGCGGCACACGGGGCCCCCAGCCUGGCCAGCUGCCUGUCCCCACUCCUGGAGGGACGUUGGGGUCCCUCAGCAGGCGGCACGAACACACCCAGGGGAGCGGAGGAAAGUCCUGGGCCCUGCUCCUGCAGCUGCCGGCUUGGGGACCCUGCCACAGGCGGCAGCACCCAGGGGAGCAGUGCCAGAGCGCAGGGACAGCUGGGCGCAGCGCUGGGGGGCACCAGGUAUGGGUGCUGUGCUGGGGGGCACCACACCUGGCUGCAGACCCACUGCAACGCCUGGGGUACCACGCUGGGGUGCGUUGUGGGGGCUGCACCGAGCCCCGGGCACAGCACCGGGGCGCAGCAGGGGGACGCAGCACGCCUGGGGACAGCCCGACCCCACUGCUGCAUGGUCCCCCCCCCGUCCCAUCCCCUCCGUGCCACCGGGCACAUCAAGGUGCUGCGUGUGGGGACACCCGGCUGCCAGCCACGCUGCGCCCCGCAGGACAUGCAGUGCCCCUGGGGCACCGAGCUGUGCCAGCACCACGUCCCCAGGCUGUCCCCACUUCCAAAGUGUCCCCUGUGAUUCCCAGGAUGGGGAAAUGCCAUCCUGCCACCAUGUCCUGCCACCCCUCGGGAGCCGAGCUGGGGACACCAUUGGGUGCCCGCUGCCACUUCGCUUCUCCAGGGCCGCCGGGCAGGAGGGGGCCAGCAGCACGAGGAAGCCAGAGCCAGGUGACAAAAGUGUCCUUGCUGGCAGGAUGGGGCUGGGGGCGCGCUCUCACCUGCCCCAUGCACCCACGGGUGGCAGUGGGGAGGGGGUGGCCCUUGGGGACAGCAGUGGUGGGGGACGGGGACAAAGAAACAGCGACAAGGUCAGGACACAGAGGACACAGCAGCAGAGCAUUGGGGCACUGCCCAGGGACACUGCCACCCUCCUGGGGACACAGCCAUCUUCUUGGGGACACUGCCACCUUCCACGGGGCAUUGCCACCUUCCUGGGGACACUGCCACUUUCAUAAGGACACUGAUCUUUCUGGGAACACUGCCACCUUCCCAGUGAUGUCACAACCUUCCUGA